Molecule: long non-coding RNA, 88 nt
Organism: Sinocyclocheilus anshuiensis
Lineage: Eukaryota; Metazoa; Chordata; Actinopteri; Cypriniformes; Cyprinidae
Exons: 3
Source: RefSeq, a predicted model, not a curated record
AACCCACGUGGACAUUUGUCCAUUGGAUCUUAAGUCCAACGCCUUAACCACUCGGCCAUCCUGGUUGUUAUAGUAAUUUUAAAAGUGA